ACUCCUACGGGAGGCAGCAGUAAGGAAUAUUGGUCAAUGGAGGCAACUCUGAACCAGCCAUGCCGCGUGCAGGAUGACUGCCCUAUGGGUUGUAAACUGCUUUUGUCAGGGAAUAAACCUUUCUACGUGUAGAAAGCUGAAUGUACCUGAAGAAUAAGGAUCGGCUAACUCCGUGCCAGCAGCCGCGGUAAUACGGAGGAUCCAAGCGUUAUCCGGAUUUAUUGGGUUUAAAGGGUGCGUAGGCGGUCCUAUAAGUCAGUGGUGAAAGACGGCAGCUUAACUGUCGCAGUGCCUUUGAUACUGUAGGACUUGAAUCUAUUUGAAGUGGGCGGAAUAAGACAAGUAGCGGUGAAAUGCAUAGAUAUGUCUUAGAACUCCGAUUGCGAAGGCAGCUCACUAAGUUAGUAUUGACGCUGAUGCACGAAAGCGUGGGGAUCAAACAGGAUUAGAUACCCUGGUAGUCCACGCCCUAAACGAUGAUAACUCGAUGUUUGCGAUACACAGUAAGCGUCCAAGCGAA
This 520-nucleotide ribosomal RNA is filed under the name bacterium btn 2i-3.6. RNAcentral describes it as "bacterial SSU rRNA". It matches the Rfam family "Bacterial small subunit ribosomal RNA", at positions 335 to 855 of the family's 1533-position model. The record is from RNAcentral.